Molecule: ribosomal RNA, 473 nt
Filed under: uncultured bacterium
Lineage: Bacteria
Description: bacterial SSU rRNA
Rfam family: Bacterial small subunit ribosomal RNA
Source: RNAcentral
GAUCAUGGCUCAGGACGAACGCUGGCGGCGCGCUUAAUACAUGCAAGUCGAACGAGAAGCCAGAGCUUGCUCUGGUGGAAAGUGGCGAACGGGUGAGUAACACGUGAGAAACCUGCCCCAAAGAUUGGGAUAAGCCUUGGAAACGAGGUCUAAUACCAAAUACCUUCUUUUAACACAUGUUAAAAGAGAAAUGCUCCGGCGCUUUGGGAUGGUCUCGCGAUCUAUCAGCUUGUUGGUGAGGUAACGGCUCACCAAGGCAUCGACGGAUAGCUGGUCUGAGAGGAUGUCCAGCCACAUUGGAACUGAGACACGGUCCAAACUCCUACGGGAGGCAGCAGUAGGGAAUCUUGCACAAUGAGGGAAACCUUGAUGCAGCGACGCCGCGUGCGGGACGAAGGCCCUAGGGUUGUAAACCGCUUUCAGUAGGGACGAAAGUGACGGUACCUACAGAAGAAGCCCCGGCCAACUAUGUG